RNAcentral lists this ribosomal RNA (253 nucleotides) under uncultured bacterium. RNAcentral's name for it is "partial 16S ribosomal RNA". It matches the Rfam family "Bacterial small subunit ribosomal RNA", at positions 524 to 776 of the family's 1533-position model. The record is from RNAcentral.
GACGAACCGAGCGAACGUUGUUCGGAAUCACUGGGCUUAAAGGGCGCGUAGGCGGGCCGCCAAGUCUGUGGUGAAAUCCCCCGGCUCAACCGGGGAACGGCCGCGGAUACUGGAGGUCUCGAGGGAGGUAGGGGCAUGCGGAACUACGGGUGGAGCGGUGAAAUGCGUAGAUAUCUGGAGGAACACCGGUGGCGAAGGCGGCAUCCUGGACCGAGAUUGACGCUGAGGCGCGAAAGCCAGGGGAGCAAACGGG